AUUGAACGCUGGCGGCAGGCCUAACACAUGCAAGUCGAACGGUAACAGGAAACAGCUUGCUGUUUCGCUGACGAGUGGCGGACGGGUGAGUAAUGUCUGGGGAAACUGCCUGAUGGAGGGGGAUAACAACUGGAAAGGGUAGUUAAACCCGCAUAACGUCGCAAAACCAAAGAGGGGGCCUUUCGGGCCCUUUGCCAUCGGAUUUGCCCAGUUGGGAUUAGCUAGUAGGUGGGGUAACGGCUCACCUAGGCGACGAUCCCUAGCUGGUCUGAGAGGAUGACCAGCCACACUGGAACUGAGACACGGUCCAGACUCCUACGGGAGGCAGCAGUGGGGAAUAUUGCACAAUGGGCGCAAGCCUGAUGCAGCCAUGCCGCGUGUAUGAAGAAGGCCUUCGGGUUGUAAAGUACUUUCAGCGGGGAGGAAGGGAGUAAAGUUAAUACCUUUACUCAUUGACGUUACCCGCAGAAGAAGCACCGGCUAACUCCGUG
Molecule: ribosomal RNA, 491 nt
Filed under: uncultured bacterium
Lineage: Bacteria
Description: partial 16S ribosomal RNA
Rfam family: Bacterial small subunit ribosomal RNA
Source: RNAcentral